UGUUUCCCAAGUCACAGUGGCAGCCGUAUAGAAAAUUGGCCACAAAAUUUACUCCAGGAAGCAAAAAUCAACCCCGACCUCUCCAACUCUGGUGGUUCACACUUCACUAAAGUACAAUAAUCAUAAAGUAAUACUAUUACAACCCUCCAAAGAAAGUGUUAGCUUCAUCUGUAUUUAUUUGCCAUAUUAAUUUUAAUUGUGGCUCCUGCAUAAUUUUUGUGUUCGAUUUUGGAGAGACUGACCAACAAAAAGAUUAGAGUAAUAAUGACACAAGCAAUUCGACUACCAAUUAUCGACCUUACUUCCCCUGAUCGUACUUCCACUGCUCGUGCAAUUCGUCAGGCAUGUGUAGAUGUUGGUUUCUUUUACCUUAUAAAUCAUGGGGUAGAAGAAAAGUUUUUUAACAAAGUGCUUCAACAGAGCAAAAAAUUUUUCUCAUUGCCUCUUGAUGAGAAGAUGAAAGUGGUAAGGAGGAACCAUAGAGGUUAUACUCCCCUUUAUGCUGAGAAACUUGAUCCUUCCUCUACUACCCAAGGUGACUCAAAAGAAAGCUUCUACAUUGGUUCUCCAGAAGACAAGAGUGUUGCUAGUAACUUGAAUCAGUGGCCUGCAGAAGAAGUUCUGCCAUGUUGGAGAUCAACCAUGGAGGAUUACCAUACAAGAGUCUUGGAUGCUGGAGUAAGACUAAUUUCACUGAUUGCUUUGGCAUUGGAGUUGGACGAGGACUUCUUUCAAAAAACUGGGGCAUGUAAUCCACCAAAUGGAGUGCUUCGUCUAUUACAUUAUCCAGGCGAGUUGCAAUUAUCUGAACAAGUGGUGUAUGGUGCUUCUGCUCAUUCAGACUAUGGGAUGUUAACUCUUCUAGCUACAGAUGGUGUUGGUGGACUUCAGGUUUGCCGGGAGAAAUUCAAGCGACCUCAGAUAUGGGAAGAUGUGCAUCAUCUCAGUGGGGCUUUCAUAGUUAACAUUGGAGAUAUGAUGGAGAGGUGGACAAACUGCUUAUUUCGGUCAACAUUGCAUAGAGUUAUGCUUACGGGGCAAGAACGUUAUUCGAUGGCUUUCUUUUUGGGUCCAAACCCAGAUUGUGUGGUGGAAUGCUUGAAGAGCUGCUGUAGUGAUUCAUCUCCUCCAAGUCUUUUCCAAAGUUUGGGCUUUCCCUUAUGGCCUACUUGAUGCAAAUGAAUGAUCCCAAAACAGAAAGAUUUCCUCCAAUUCGCGCGGGAGACUACUUGGAAGGGCGCUUGAAAUUUACAUAUGCUUCAUAGUAAAGAAGACGAGGAAGAUCAACUUUAAUGGAGAGAAGAGAAGAAGCAGUUAUGGAAAUGAGAUAUUUUUAUUUCUCUGAUAAAUAUUACACAUGUAAUGCUUAUAUCUAGAGCUGACUAACUAACACUACUAAUUGACUAAUUAAUGCUCUAACUAACAAUGUACAAGCUCUAACUACUAACUAACAAUGUACAAUCAUCUAAUGCCUAGCUAUCUACAGUUUCUACACACACACCCCACCCCCCUCAUGUUGGGAGGUGGAACAAGUUAACCAUGCCCACUUGUGAAGUAGAUAGUCAUCUUGCUGCUUCUCCAGGCCUUUGUCAAGAUGUGUCUAAGGUUUUUUAUUUUUUUCCAAUAUGUUUUGCCUUGAUAAGUUCUUGUAUCUUUUCUCUAAUAAAGUGGCAAUCAAUUUCUAUAUGUUUUG
RNA transcript from Capsicum annuum, 1693 nucleotides. It is a transcript of the gene named 2-oxoglutarate-Fe(II) type oxidoreductase hxnY, with no coding region annotated. The transcript has 13 exons. Lineage: Eukaryota; Viridiplantae; Streptophyta; Magnoliopsida; Solanales; Solanaceae. The record is from RefSeq and is a predicted model, not a curated record.